AAACACUUCAACAAGUAACCAAAAGCUAUAUAAUGCUAUAUGGCCUGGAGAAACUAUAAGACGACCUCGAGGAUGGGUGUUCCCCAAUAAUGGAAAGCCCCUGAGAAUUGCCGUUCCUUUCCGUGUCACUUUUGAAGAGUUUGUGAAGAAAGACAAAGGACCUGCUGGGGUGAAAGGAUAUUGCAUUGAUGUUUUUGAGGCUGCAAUAGACUUGUUGGCUUACCCUGUCCCUCAUGUCUACAUUUUGUACGGAGAUGGAAAAAGAAACCCGUCGUUCAACAGCAUAGUGAAUGAUGUUGCACAAAAUAAAUAUGAUGCAGCUGUUGGAGAUAUUGCAAUUACGACAAAUCGCACAAGGAUUGUGGACUUCACACAGCCUUAUAUGGAAUCUGGACUCGUAGUAG
This 404-nucleotide unclassified non-coding RNA is filed under the name Hevea brasiliensis (rubber tree). Lineage: Eukaryota; Viridiplantae; Streptophyta; Magnoliopsida; Malpighiales; Euphorbiaceae. The record is from RNAcentral.